Molecule: ribosomal RNA, 528 nt
Filed under: Clostridioides difficile
Lineage: Bacteria; Bacillati; Bacillota; Clostridia; Peptostreptococcales; Peptostreptococcaceae
Description: bacterial SSU rRNA
Rfam family: Bacterial small subunit ribosomal RNA
Source: RNAcentral
ACAAGUAGCGGAGCAUGUGGUUUAAUUCGAAGCAACGCGAAGAACCUUACCUAAGCUUGACAUCCCAAUGACAUCUCCUUAAUCGGAGAGUUCCCUUCGGGGACAUUGGUGACAGGUGGUGCAUGGUUGUCGUCAGCUCGUGUCGUGAGAUGUUGGGUUAAGUCCCGCAACGAGCGCAACCCUUGUCUUUAGUUGCCAUCAUUAAGUUGGGCACUCUAGAGAGACUGCCAGGGAUAACCUGGAGGAAGGUGGGGAUGACGUCAAAUCAUCAUGCCCCUUAUGCUUAGGGCUACACACGUGCUACAAUGGGUAGUACAGAGGGUUGCCAAGCCGUAAGGUGGAGCUAAUCCCUUAAAGCUACUCUCAGUUCGGAUUGUAGGCUGAAACUCGCCUACAUGAAGCUGGAGUUACUAGUAAUCGCAGAUCAGAAUGCUGCGGUGAAUGCGUUCCCGGGUCUUGUACACACCGCCCGUCACACCACGGGAGUUGGAGACGCCCGAAGCCGAUUAUCUAACCUUUUGGAAGAAG